RNAcentral lists this small RNA (261 nucleotides) under Otolemur garnettii (small-eared galago). Its description in RNAcentral is "Metazoan signal recognition particle RNA (ENSOGAG00000028953.1)". The record is from RNAcentral. Lineage: Eukaryota; Metazoa; Chordata; Mammalia; Primates; Galagidae.
GCCAGGCGUUGUGGCGGGCGCCUGUGGUCCCAGCUACUUGGGAGGCGGAGGCAGGAGACUCGCUUGAGCCCAGGAGUUGGAGGUUGCUGUGAGCUGUAAUGCCACGGCACUCUACCCAGGGGGACAGCUUGAGGCUCUGUCUCAAAAAAAAAAAAAAAAAAAAAAAAAGAGACAGAGUUUCACUUUAUUGCCGUCGGUAGAGUGCAGUGACAUCACAGCUCACAGCAGCCUCCAACUCCUGGGCUUAGGUGAUUCUCUUGC